AAAGAAGGUUGCUGUUGUGAGUGAUACAUGCCGGGCAACUUGAUUGCUCUUAGUGCAGAAUUGAAAACAAGAAAUUUUGGAAAUAUAAUUUUUUGGUGGUUGGAUUGCUAGUUAUAUUAGUCCAUUCUCACACUGCCAUAAACACCCAA
Small nuclear RNA from Cebus imitator (Panamanian white-faced capuchin), 149 nucleotides. NCBI's taxonomy places the organism in Eukaryota, Metazoa, Chordata, Mammalia, Primates, Cebidae. The record is from Ensembl.